This is a ribosomal RNA of Microcebus murinus (gray mouse lemur), 108 nucleotides long. The record is from Ensembl. NCBI's taxonomy places the organism in Eukaryota, Metazoa, Chordata, Mammalia, Primates, Cheirogaleidae.
UUUGCCAUGCCAUCCUGAAGGCACCCCAUCUCAUCUGAUCUCGGAAGCUAAACAGGAUUGGGCCUGGUUAGUAGUUGGAUGGGAGGCCAAUGUAAAUUCUUUCCAAAC